This 723-nucleotide long non-coding RNA is filed under the name Calidris pygmaea (Spoon-billed sandpiper). RNAcentral describes it as "lncRNA (ENSCPGG00000010948.1)". The record is from RNAcentral. Lineage: Eukaryota; Metazoa; Chordata; Aves; Charadriiformes; Scolopacidae.
AUGCGUUCACGUAAAGGUCUCCUUGUGUGCUCUUUGUCUUGGCCUCCCCAAGCUUUUUUUACUGCUUGGAAGACAAGAAUUCCCCCAGUUUUAUUUGCAGCCUCAGAUAACAGGAAUCCAGGGAAGGUGCGGAGCCAGUCACGCUCCUUUUGCUUCAGCUCUUGUGCUGAAAGGUGCACAAAGAGAAAGAAGUGGCACUUCCCCAGAGGACUGAGGCCCCUUUCCUUGGAGGCGCACAAGAAUGUGUUUCCUUAUUUGCCCAAGAAGAUUGAAAGUCAGAUAAAAGCAGAGUGGUUUUACCUGAGCACUUCUGGCCGGGGGCCGUGUCCCCGUUCAGAUAAAGGCGGCGACAGCCCGCUAUCGACCAACUCGCCAGGGAUGGCCGCAAAUCCGCCAAGUCAUGCUGCCCUUGCAAGGGGCGGGCAGGGCAGGGAGGGGCGGCAGCGGCGGCCCCCCCUCCCCUCCCCGUUCCGCGGCGGCGGAAGGAGCCCGUCUCCUCGCGAGAGCGGGGCGGGUAUAAAGGGGCGGGCGCGGGGGGGCUGCCGCAGUGUGGGCCUUCCUGCGGCGGCGGAGAGUGCGAGGCUUCGGCUCUUUGUAAUGAAAGGAAACAACAUGCGGAGCCUGUGGUCUGAUGCUCUGUGGGUUAGGAAAUGCUGUGGCUGAAAAUCCGAGCACAACAUGUGAGAACACGUGCUCACCCCACGCGGAAAAGCAGAAAUGUUG